RNAcentral lists this unclassified non-coding RNA (285 nucleotides) under Hevea brasiliensis (rubber tree). The record is from RNAcentral. Lineage: Eukaryota; Viridiplantae; Streptophyta; Magnoliopsida; Malpighiales; Euphorbiaceae.
CCCCCCCCCCUCCCCCUCCCUCCAACCUUUUAUAAACUAUUAAAAUUUAAACUUUGAUUUGGCUUAUUCUUCCUAUCAAUACCUUUGCAAUGUGGAAUAUCACAUUAUUAUGUUGUUCUUGAGAAGGGAAAUUUUCUCUAGUGUUGACCAAGUAGUGGCGUGGGCAAAUUUUCAUAUCAUGAAACUCUUAUUAAAUCUUUCUAAAAUUUUUUGUACCCUAGCUUACUGCAAUAUUAAACAAAUAAUGGAAGAAAAAAAAAAAUGAGUAUGAUUGAGAUAUGUUAU